AUUGAACGCUGGCGGUAGGCCUAACACAUGCAAGUCGAACGCGAAAGUCCUUCGGGAGUGAGUAGAGUGGCGGACGGGUGAGUAACGCGUAGGAAUCUAUCCUGUAGUGGGGGAGUAACGUUUCGAAAGGAACGCUAAUACCGCAUACGCCCACCGGGGGAAAGCGGGGGAGUCUUCGGACCUCGUGCUAUAGGAGGAGCCUGCGUCGGAUUAGCUAGUUGGUGAGGUAAAGGCUCACCAAAGGCGACGAUCCGUAGCUGGUCUGAGAGGAUGAUCAGCCACACCGGAACUGAGACACGGUCCGGACUCCUACGGGAGGCAGCAGUGGGGAAUAUUGCGCAAUGGGCGAAAGCCUGACGCAGCCAUACCGCGUGUGUGAAG
RNAcentral lists this ribosomal RNA (381 nucleotides) under uncultured bacterium. RNAcentral's name for it is "bacterial SSU rRNA". It matches the Rfam family "Bacterial small subunit ribosomal RNA", at positions 29 to 410 of the family's 1533-position model. The record is from RNAcentral.